RNAcentral lists this long non-coding RNA (468 nucleotides) under Mus spicilegus (steppe mouse). Its description in RNAcentral is "lncRNA (ENSMSIG00000016923.1)". The record is from RNAcentral. Lineage: Eukaryota; Metazoa; Chordata; Mammalia; Rodentia; Muridae.
CAGAACUGCAAGACAACAAUGACAGGCCACUGUUUGCAGCCACCAGCCUGGUGGGACUUCUGUGCUGGCCCUGGGGUGUAAUCCACCUAUCUGACACAUACCCUGUCUCUCUGCUCUCUAGAAGCACAGAUGCGGGGUAUGAUGACGACGCCCUGAUCCUCUGAGCCGGGAAGUCCGGCACUGUGGUGCAUGCCUGAGAUCUGAAGAGGCUGAGGACUGUGCCUCAAAAACAGCAUCAACCAAGAACAUAGCACAGGCGCGCAAGUGCCCGCCUGGUGAAAUCAGAUGGCCACGGUCCUGGACCAAGAGCUGGAGGACCUGCCAGUGGAAACAAUCUCACACAAUCCUGUUAAGCACACACCACCAAGGAAUGGCGGGCCUCGGGACGGGGCUGCUUCCCCCCCGGCCCUGCCCAGCCGAGCAGAUGGCGGCGUGGGCGAGUCGUGAUGUCUGACAAGGCAAUGUCAC